RNAcentral lists this ribosomal RNA (455 nucleotides) under uncultured bacterium. RNAcentral's name for it is "bacterial SSU rRNA". It matches the Rfam family "Bacterial small subunit ribosomal RNA", at positions 340 to 786 of the family's 1533-position model. The record is from RNAcentral.
UACGGAAGGCAGCAGUGGGGAAUAUUGCACAAUGGGCGCAAGCCUGAUGCAGCCAUGCCGCGUGUAUGAAGAAGGCCUUCGGGUUGUAAAGUACUUUCAGUCGUGAGGAAGGUGUUAAGGUUAAUAACCUUAGCAAUUGACGUUAGCGACAGAAGAAGCACCGGCUAACUCCGUGCCAGCAGCCGCGGUAAUACGGAGGGUGCGAGCGUUAAUCGGAAUUACUGGGCGUAAAGGGCACGCAGGCGGUUAAUUAAGUUGGAUGUGAAAUCCCCGGGCUUAACCUGGGAAUGGCAUUCAAGACUGGUUAGCUAGAGUCUUGUAGAGGGGGUAGAAUUCCAUGUGUAGCGGUGAAAUGCGUAGAGAUGUGGAGGAAUACCGGUGGCGAAAGGCGGCCCCUGGACAAAGGACUGACGCUCAUGUGCGAAAGCGUGGGGAGCAAACAGGGAUUAGAUACC